This 236-nucleotide ribosomal RNA is filed under the name uncultured bacterium. RNAcentral's name for it is "partial 16S ribosomal RNA". It matches the Rfam family "Bacterial small subunit ribosomal RNA", at positions 541 to 776 of the family's 1533-position model. The record is from RNAcentral.
UUGUUCGGAAUUACUGGGCGUAAAGGGCGCGCAGGCGGCCCUUGACGUCAGGCGUGAAAGCCCCGGGCUCAACCUGGGAGGUGCGCUUGAUACUCGAGGGCUUGAGUGCGGGAGAGGAGAGUGGAAUUCCCAGUGUAGAGGUGAAAUUCGUAGAUAUUGGGAAGAACACCGGUGGCGAAGGCGGCUCUCUGGACCGUAACUGACGCUGAGGCGCGAAAGCGUGGGGAGCAAACAGG